UGGAGCAUGUGGUUUAAUUUCGAUGAUAACGCGAAAAACCUUACCCGGGCUUGACAUGCAUCAGACAGGCGUAGAGAUACGCCCUCCGCGAGGCUGGUGCACAGGUGCUGCAUGGUUGUCGUCAGCUCGUGUCGUGAGAUGUUGGGUUAAGUCCCGCAACGAGCGCAACCCCUACCGUGUGUUACCAUCAUUAAGUUGGGGACUCGCACGGAACUGCCGGUGAUAAACCGGAGGAAGGUGGGAUGACGUCAAAUCCUCAUGGCCUUUAUGUCCGGGGCUACACACGUGCUACAAUGGUCGGUACAGAAGGAAGCGAAGUCGUGAGAUGGAGCAGAUCCGAGAAAGCCGAUCUCAGUUCGGAUUGGAGUCUGCAACUCGACUCCAUGAAGUCGGAAUCGCUAGUAAUCGUGGAUCAGCAUGUCACGGUGAAUACGUUCCCGGGUCUU
This 446-nucleotide ribosomal RNA is filed under the name uncultured Leptonema sp. RNAcentral describes it as "bacterial SSU rRNA". It matches the Rfam family "Bacterial small subunit ribosomal RNA", at positions 933 to 1382 of the family's 1533-position model. Lineage: Bacteria; Pseudomonadati; Spirochaetota; Leptospiria; Leptospirales; Leptospiraceae. The record is from RNAcentral.